UACGAAGGGUGCGAGCGUUAAUCGGAAUUACUGGGCGUAAAGAGCACGUAGGCGGUUUGAUAAGCGGAAUGUGAAAGCCCCGGGCUUAACCUGGGAACUGCAUCCCGAACUGUCAGGCUAGAGUAUGAUAGAGGUGAGCGGAAUUUCCUGUGUAGCGGUGAAAUGCGUAGAUAUAGGAAGGAACAUCAGUUGCGAAGGCGGCUCACUGGAUCAAUACUGACGCUGAGGUGCGAAAGCGUGGGUAGCGAAC
This 250-nucleotide ribosomal RNA is filed under the name uncultured bacterium. Its description in RNAcentral is "partial 16S ribosomal RNA". It matches the Rfam family "Bacterial small subunit ribosomal RNA", at positions 524 to 773 of the family's 1533-position model. The record is from RNAcentral.